Molecule: ribosomal RNA, 327 nt
Filed under: uncultured eukaryote
Lineage: Eukaryota
Description: partial 18S ribosomal RNA
Rfam family: Eukaryotic small subunit ribosomal RNA
Source: RNAcentral
CCCUUAGAUGUUCUGGGCCGCACACGCGCUACACUGAAGGAGGCAGCGUGUACUCCUGGAUCGAAAGAUUUGGGUAACCCGCGAAUCUCCUUCGUGCUAGGGAUUGAGGUUUGCAAUUAUCCUUCAUGAACGAGGAAUUCCCAGUAAGUGCAAGUCAUAAGCUUGCGCUGACUACGUCCCUGCCCUUUGUACACACCGCCCGUCGCUACUACCGAUUGAAUGAUUUAGUGAAGACUUCGGACUGGGACCGAUGCGGCUUUCGGGCUGCGUCGGUAUUCUGGAAAGAUGUCCAAACUGUAUCAUUUAGAGGAAGUAAAANUCGUAACA